Molecule: ribosomal RNA, 250 nt
Filed under: uncultured bacterium
Lineage: Bacteria
Description: partial 16S ribosomal RNA
Rfam family: Bacterial small subunit ribosomal RNA
Source: RNAcentral
UACGUAGGUGGCAAGCGUUGUCCGGAAUUAUUGGGCGUAAAGCGCGCGUAGGCGGGAGAGUAAGUCUGUUGUUUAAAUUCGGGGCUCAACCCCGUCAAGCAAUGGAAACUGCUUUUCUUGAGUGCAGGAGAGGAAAGGGGAAUUCCCAGUGUAGCGGUGAAAUGCGUAGAUAUUGGGAGGAACACCAGUGGCGAAGGCGCCUUUCUGGACUGUGUCUGACGCUGAGGAGCGAAAGCCAGGGGAGCAAACG